GGCCCUAUGGCUUAGUUGGUUAAAGCGCCUGUCUUGUAAACAGGAGAUCCUGGGUUCGAGUCCCAGUAAGGCCU
Transfer RNA from Loxodonta africana (African savanna elephant), 74 nucleotides. It matches the Rfam family "tRNA". From Rfam's summary of the family: Transfer RNA (tRNA) molecules are approximately 80 nucleotides in length. Their secondary structure includes four short double-helical elements and three loops (D, anti-codon, and T loops). The record is from Rfam. NCBI's taxonomy places the organism in Eukaryota, Metazoa, Chordata, Mammalia, Proboscidea, Elephantidae.